RNAcentral lists this ribosomal RNA (465 nucleotides) under Vreelandella stevensii. Its description in RNAcentral is "partial 16S ribosomal RNA". It matches the Rfam family "Bacterial small subunit ribosomal RNA", at positions 338 to 795 of the family's 1533-position model. The record is from RNAcentral. Lineage: Bacteria; Pseudomonadati; Pseudomonadota; Gammaproteobacteria; Oceanospirillales; Halomonadaceae.
CCUACGGGGGGCUGCAGUGGGGAAUAUUGGACAAUGGGGGGAACCCUGAUCCAGCCAUGCCGCGUGUGUGAAGAAGGCCCUCGGGUUGUAAAGCACUUUCAGUGAGGAAGAACGCCUGGUGGUUAAUACCCAUCAGGAAAGACAUCACUCACAGAAGAAGCACCGGCUAACUCCGUGCCAGCAGCCGCGGUAAUACGGAGGGUGCGAGCGUUAAUCGGAAUUACUGGGCGUAAAGCGCGCGUAGGUGGCUUGAUAAGCCGGUUGUGAAAGCCCCGGGCUCAACCUGGGAACGGCAUCCGGAUCUGUCAAGCUAGAGUGCAGGAGAGGAAGGUAGAAUUCCCGGUGUAGCGGUGAAAUGCGUAGAGAUCGGGAGGAAUACCAGUGGCGAAGGCGGCCUUCUGGACUGACACUGACACUGAGGUGCGAAAGCGUGGGUAGCAAACAGGAUUAGAUACCCCAGUAGUC